GAUGAACGCUAGCGGCAGGCUUAAUACAUGCAAGUCGUGGGGCAGCAUGAGUAGCAAUACUUGAUGGCGACCGGCAAACGGGUGAGGAACACGUACACAACCUUCCUUCAAGCGGGGAAUAGCCCAGAGAAAUUUGGAUUAAUACCCCAUAAUAUAUUUGAUAAGGCAUCUUAUUAAUAUUAAAGCUUCGGCACUUGAUGAUGGGUGUGCGGCUGAUUAGAUAGUUGGCGGGUAACGGCCCACCAAGUCUACGAUCAGUAGCUGAUGUGAGAGCAUGAUCAGCCACACGGGCACUGAGACACGGGCCCGACUCCUACGGGAGGCAGCAGUAAGGAAUAUUGGACAAUGGACGAAAGUCUGAUCCAGCCAUGCCGCGUGAAGGAUUAAGGUCCUCUGGAUUGUAAACUUCUUUUAUAUGGGACGAAAAAGGGCAUUCUGUUCACUUGACGGUACCAUAUGAAUAAGCACCGGCUAACUCCGUGCCAG
This 486-nucleotide ribosomal RNA is filed under the name uncultured bacterium. Its description in RNAcentral is "bacterial SSU rRNA". It matches the Rfam family "Bacterial small subunit ribosomal RNA", at positions 28 to 511 of the family's 1533-position model. The record is from RNAcentral.